UACGGAGGGGGCUAGCGUUGUUCGGAAUUACUGGGCGUAAAGCGCACGUAGGCGGCUUUGUAAGUUAGAGGUGAAAGCCCGGGGCUCAACUCCGGAAUUGCCUUUAAGACUGCAUCGCUAGAAUUGUGGAGAGGUAAGUGGAAUUCCGAGUGUAGAGGUGAAAUUCGUAGAUACUCGGAAGAACACCAGUGGCGAAGGCGACUUACUGGACACAUAUUGACGCUGAGGUGCGAAAGCGUGGGGAGCAAACAGG
This 253-nucleotide ribosomal RNA is filed under the name uncultured bacterium. RNAcentral's name for it is "partial 16S ribosomal RNA". It matches the Rfam family "Bacterial small subunit ribosomal RNA", at positions 524 to 776 of the family's 1533-position model. The record is from RNAcentral.